RNAcentral lists this ribosomal RNA (427 nucleotides) under uncultured bacterium. RNAcentral's name for it is "bacterial SSU rRNA". It matches the Rfam family "Bacterial small subunit ribosomal RNA", at positions 355 to 774 of the family's 1533-position model. The record is from RNAcentral.
UGGGGAAUUUUGGACAAUGGGCGCAAGCCUGAUCCAGCCGUUCCGCGUGCAGGACGAAGGCCUUCGGGUUGUAAACUGCUUUUGUACGGAACGAAAAGCCCUUCUCUAAUACAGAGGGGUCAUGACGGUACCGUAAGAAUAAGCACCGGCUAACUACGUGCCAGCAGCCGCGGUAAUACGUAGGGUGCGAGCGUUAAUCGGAAUUACUGGGCGUAAAGCGUGCGCAGGCGGUUAUAUAAGACAGAUGUGAAAUCCCCGGGCUCAACCUGGGAACUGCAUUUGUGACUGUAUAGCUAGAGUACGGCAGAGGGGGAUGGAAUUCCGCGUGUAGCAGUGAAAUGCGUAGAUAUGCGGAGGAACACCGAUGGCGAAGGCAAUCACCGGGGCCUGGACUGACGCUCAUGCACGAAAGCGUGGGAAGCAAACA